GACAGAGGUGGCAAGCGUUGCUCGGAUUCACUGGGCUUAAAGGGCGCGUAGGUGGUCUUGUAAGUCAAAGGUGGAAUUCCACAGCUUAACUGUGGAACUGCCUUUGAUACUGCAAGGCUUGAGUCAGGUAGAGGAGGGCGGAAUUCCCGGUGUAGCGGUGAAAUGCGUAGAUAUCGGGAGGAAGGCCGGUGGCGAAGGCGGCCCUCUGGGCCUGUACUGACACUGAGGCGCGAAAGCGCGGGGAGCAAACAGG
This 253-nucleotide ribosomal RNA is filed under the name uncultured microorganism. Its description in RNAcentral is "partial 16S ribosomal RNA". It matches the Rfam family "Bacterial small subunit ribosomal RNA", at positions 524 to 776 of the family's 1533-position model. The record is from RNAcentral.